GACGAACGCUGGCGGCGUGCUUAACACAUGCAAGUCGAACGGAAAGGCCCUGCUUUUGUGGGGUGCUCGAGUGGCGAACGGGUGAGUAACACGUGAGUAACCUGCCCUUGACUUUGGGAUAACUUCAGGAAACUGGGGCUAAUACCGGAUAGGAGCUCCUGCUGCAUGGUGGGCGUUGGAAAGUUUCGGCGGUUGGGGUUGGACUCGCGGCUUAUCAGCUUGUUGGUGGGGUAGUGGCUUACCAAGGCUUUGACGGGUAGCCGGCCUGAGAGGGUGACCGGCCACAUUGGGACUGAGAUACGGCCCAGACGCCUACGGGAGGCAGCAGUGGGGAAUAUUGCACAAUGGGCGGAAGCCUGAUGCAGCAACGCCGCGUGCGGGAUGACGGCCUUCGGGUUGUAAACCGCUUUCGCCUGUGACGAAGCGGGAGUGACGGUAAUGGGUAAAGAAGCACCGGCUAACUACGUG
This 468-nucleotide ribosomal RNA is filed under the name uncultured bacterium. RNAcentral describes it as "partial 16S ribosomal RNA". It matches the Rfam family "Bacterial small subunit ribosomal RNA", at positions 28 to 507 of the family's 1533-position model. The record is from RNAcentral.